Gallus gallus (chicken) is the source of this 4562-nucleotide long non-coding RNA. NCBI's taxonomy places the organism in Eukaryota, Metazoa, Chordata, Aves, Galliformes, Phasianidae. The record is from Ensembl.
CAGUUAAAAUUACGUCAGUUCUGGAAUAGUAUUCAUCUGCUGACCUGGAGGGAGAUGCAUGUGUCCAUCUGGUAUGCAGAGAUCAUUGCCCCACAUCUUGGCAUCCACUUGCUGCAAUUUAUUGAUAUGUUGGAUAUUUCCUCUUCUGAUUCUUUUACUGAUCUUCUGAAAGGGCCUAUAUUUCUAAUGCAGCAGUGACAAGAAGUGUGUCACGGUACUCACAAAAGGGAGUCCUGCAAUUAGAAUUUGGUGAGACAAAACCCAGCAAAGGACCUAGAACACCACUGCCUUCAUUGCACCAUUCCAGAGCCCAGAGGAGGGACGAUUGGCAUUACCCAUGAACAAUAGGGACAAAGGCAGCCCAAACGAGAAUGAUAACCUGUGGCAUGUUUGGCUCUCCAGAAAUGAGUGAUGAAUGCAUUCCAAAGAGGAGUAAAAUAAACUGGGACAGAUCUUGGGACUAUUUUUAAUGUGCAUCUGCCUAUACACUGAAUUUUGUUACCUGAAGAAACUGAGGGAUCUCUAUCAUUUGGGAUCUUAUCUUUAAGAUUCCAUAAAUGUGCUUGGAAUCAUAUGGGUUUCCCAUGUGGAUGGGUCAGAAGACCUCCAAAUCCUAUAAUCUGUCUGUCAUCUAAAGGCCUGCUCAUGAUGUUCUUGCAAUGCUACAACAGUGACUUGUUUGGAAACUACUUAUUUUAAACUCUCUUAAUGGCAUGACAAGAAACUCUUGUAGUGGCUGUGCUCUUUCCUAACGUGGAACCUGGGUUGUUCCACUUAAAAGACUUGUUGCUAUAAAAUUAUUCUUUUGUGUAACAGGGUACAAUAACACCAACUCUGUGAUUCCUUUGACUAUCUAUCAAUUUCUGAUACUUUGAGAGCUGGCGUACUGCUCUCUACUCUCCAGAAAAUUUGGCUAACUUUGUGCAGCAGUAUAUUGGCCUUUGAAAAUUGGCUUACAGUUAGCAGACAGAAGCAGGGUCAGAAUUAGUUCAAAACAAAUUAAUAGUCAGAAGUUCUAACUUGCUAAGCUGUAUGCAGUCCACUCUUCAAAGGAUAUUCACCGAUUGCUGUAAUUGCUGUCUUUAAGGUCUUCCAAAAAUCCAUGGACAUGUUAAUUAAUACUGUUGUAGAUAUAUGUGAAGGUAUUUGACCUGAGAAUUUAAUUCUACAGUUUAAUUCCAUAAUGAUUGUAAAUGGUAAGACUGCUGCAUAUUUAAAAGAACAUUAUUGUGAAUUUAGCUAGCUGUUGGCAGUUUAAUAGUGACUAACAGAUAUUAAAUAAGCAUGAAAUUCUAGUGGUGAAUGACAUUUUUUACAGAGGCAAGGUCUAGAAGCUGAAGGCAAGAGAAAAUGCUGCAGCCAUCCAUGGCGACCUUCCUUUUCCCCAGCAUUUUACAGUUUGUACAACUUUCCCAGCACCAGGGCAAGUCGGGAUUGGUAGAAGGGUCUUCUUCUUGCAAGUGUGGAUGGCACAUAAUGAGCCUGGUGGGACUGGAAUUCCUUGAUUUGCUCAAGUCAUUGACACCUCCCUUGUUGAUGUCACUGGCAGCAGGGUUUCCCCAAAGAUCUGAGUUCUUCAGCUGCUCAGAGUUAAUCAUAUCCUCCAGUAGUUGUAGUGUGAAGGCAGAGGUGUGUGAAUUCUACCCUUUCCCUUGACAGAGAUUUCUUAGAAAAAAAAUAAAGGAUGUCAAAAGAAAUCAGUUGUCUAAAGAAAAGAAAAGAAAACAAGUUGAUCCUUUCAUUGUUACCAUUCAAAAGCAUCUCUUUGUUUUCAGAACAAAACUGGUGGCAAGUGACUUCUUUUUCCACCCUGCGGUGGCUAUAUAAAUUUCUGCUACUAAGAGACAAACAUCACUGAUUUGACCGACUUAUUCAAAACAGGUCACAAAGCUGCAGCUUGUUGUGUCAAUUCUCAUCGUAUACUGAUGUGACAAGUUUUAUGAAUAAAAUAUGGGCAGUUGCUGUCUGAGAGGAUGCCACAUCUUAGCUACCCAAACCCUCUGUCCUUGAAGAGGGAAGCUUUGAAAAAUUAGGACCAUGUUUCAAUCCAGGCUGCACAAUAUGCUUUUCAACAAAGUGUAAUAUAUUGUGUUUAGCUGAAUAACUUUCUUCUCCUCUUCUCCCCUUCCCCUGUCCCUCCCCUACUACCAAAAAAAAAAAAAAAAAAAAAAAAAAACCAAACAAAAACAAAAACCCCAAAACCCCAAACAACAAAACCCGUGGCAUCUUAAACUAAAGCACACUUCAGUCGGUCUCCCUGGGUGUGCUCUGUGCCAGCAGCCACAGCGUUUCUUUCAUCUUGGCUUCAAAGUGGUGCUGAGAGGGGGAGGGGGCAUCUAAUGAAAGAAGGGAAAACAAACAAACAAACAAACAAAUGCAAAACGAGGGAGGAAAUGAAAAAUAGCAGUCUACCUUUCAAAUCUGAGUGUCGCCUGCAGGCACACUCUGCAGUGGAUGUUACACUCAGCUUCAGCCCCUUGUACUUUUUUUUUGUUAUUGCCUCUUCCCAUGCUGGGAAGAUUCUUGUCAUCCCUCACAUAUUUUAUCCGGAGAAAAGGCUGCCCUGCCCUGUGCUUGGUGAUUGAGGCUGUGCCCCUGGUGUGCCACACUAUCAGUGGUUCCCAAGGCUGCCUAGCCUGGGAAAAGCUGCGUGGAAAUGGUCCAAAAUCAGCAUUACAUGCAUUAUUGUUCUUACUCUCUCUGAUUAGAGUGCACACAAUGAAAACAACAGCAACAGCCUCAUUUUCUAGCCCUCCUCCCAACACAAGGCUGUUCUUAGACUGUUUUUCUUUCUCGAAGUCUUUACAGAAAUUAACUGCUUCUGUGCUGGUAGAUCCCAGGCACUCCAGCUGCUUCUUGGGAAGCCUCAGAGCACAGCCUGAGUGAGGGCAACAUUUUCAUAUGCAUACAGUUGGCUUGGGAACUAAAAUCCUUUAUUUUAAAAGUGAAUUUGUAUGUAGGCUGCUUCAUGCAGUGCUGGAAAUGCACCACUGAAAUGCUGUGGUGAUACGCACAGCACAAUUCCAGCAGGAUGAAACAUAAUAAAUAUAUUUAGGCAUUUUUUGCAUUGUAUGCAGAAUGCCUAUGCAUGCAUCGUAUUAAAUGCUGGAUGCAACAUACACAAUGUCCCAGCAGUGAAUCACAGCACCUGUGUUGUCCCAAGUUUGAAACACUGCUGCUUUUUGACUUACUCCCUGGUCAGACAGCUCUUGGUCUCCUGGCUUAAAAGCAUCAAAAUUGACGGAGAACACCAACACCUGAACUACACCCCUGCUGUAGAGGCUCUGUGGUCAUUUGGCAGGUAAUAGUCUACAUUUCCUAAGACUGCUAUUUGGGUAUUCCAUGUCUUGGGGUAACCACUUUGGGGUGGGUCAAAACUCGGUGUCCUUCUUAUCCCAAACACACAAAAAUGUUCCUGUGGAAGCACUGGGUGAGGUGCAGAAUUUCAAAUUUACUCUUUUGUAAAAUGCAGGUUUUACUGUUCCUGAAAUAUAUUCGGUGGAACAGCAAAUAAAGGAGGAAAUAUAUUUUCUUUCUGCUUAACAGAUUGGAUCAUGUCCUGAAAAGCCAGGUGCCUGUACUUUGGAUGUACUUAAGUAUUUCUUACAAGAUGGACUUUUAAAGCCGUUUCAGAAGAAAACAUUAGAUAGCCCAAGGUUCUAAAUACAAUGAAGGCAAAUGAUAACAAAGACUGAAUGCAUUUUUACAGUACAUUUUCCAUUCAGUUAUAGCAGAUGCUACACUUUCCCCCCCCCUUUUUUUUUUUUUUUUAAACAAAUAUAUAUAUCUUUUUUCGGCACACCAGUGGGAACACAUAUGGAAGCAGGCAUAUACCAUAUGAGACGUUUUGUUUUAGGACCCGCUUCUGAUGCUUUUCCUAUCUUACAACUUCACUGCAGAAAAGCACUUAAUGCCUAUUGCGUUCUUCACAGGGAGAUGUAGAAGUGCACUGGAUCCCUCCCCACCUUAAGGACCUGUGAGACUUCCAGGCAUCGCUUGCUCCCUGUGACCUAGAAUCUGCAGAGGUAUGAUAUGUAGAGAUCGAUUCAGAUAAGCAACUAUGGGAUUGAAGAAUGCAUUUCUUAAAGUGAACCUGUGCAAUGUUUCGCUAGAGAAUGCAUGAAAAGGAAAUGCUGCAGACACCGUGCACGCAACCAAAGAUGCAAAGCUCACACAUGAAGGAGCCUUCAGAAGUGAGAUGCUGGGCUAGAGGCAAACACUGAUAGAGUUAUGAGGAGCUGAGAAGCGAAGUGAUUAUUGGUGUCCCUUUGGGUCUGCUUUUCCUAUUAUUAUCUUCAUAUUUUCUGUCACACCACCAUGCGCAGACACUUUCCUUGAAUAACACUGGAAGGCUUCAAAUCCACAUCCAAGAUUUUUAUGUGUUCUGACAUCUACAUGAAACUGGCAGAUAAUCAUAGCUUUGUAAAGUUGAAAUGGGAAUAGAUCAAUUAAAAAAACAAAAAAAGCUCACACAAGACUGGUUACUAACCAGAGGGUGGUCAGUCAUAGAUACACCCGUGCUGCAAUAUUCACUUUUCUGCUAGUUCUUGCUAAUCUUCUAU